CCCCAAUUCCCACCCAUUUCCAAACCCUAGCCGCCACUUCCUCCCACCAAAAUCAAUCCAAAAGACGAUUUUCACCGUUUAUUCAACCCUUCGACGCCGUUUCACUGUCGAAAAUGCACUCACCGUCGAUUCUCGUUGUGAAGAGCACCGUGGAUCGAUGAUUCACAACUACAAAGUUUCGAUUUUGUUUUGAGCGUGCCGCCGGUCGUCGAUUAAAGAGGAACUAACGAAAACGAGAACAAAUGACGAAGAGAGACAGAACAUACACAAGCCAACCAACAGAUGACGAAGCCUAGAAAGUGCUAAGGCGACUUGGAAAUGUUCAGAAUUAAGGUUGCUACUGCGCUGCUGACUUCCGCACAUAACUCCAAAGGUGCAAACCACCAUAGAUAUGCCACCGAGUUUUGGAAGGAGAGGCCGCCUAAGUUCGUCUUCGAGAAGUGGGUCGAAGAGUACAGGCUGAAUUGAUUGGAGUAGUAGUCAUUGAAAUGCUAUUUACAUUUUUUGAACAAUGUGGUUUUUUUUGGAUAAUGCAUUUUAGAAGGUAGAAAAGACGACUUAUUUGUUGGCCA
Non-coding RNA from Salvia hispanica, 572 nucleotides. The record is from RefSeq and is a predicted model, not a curated record. Lineage: Eukaryota; Viridiplantae; Streptophyta; Magnoliopsida; Lamiales; Lamiaceae.